AGAGUUUGAUCCUAGCUCAGGGCGAAUGCUAGCGGUGCGCCUAACACAUGCAAGUCGAGCGAGAAAUUUUCUAGCUUGCUAGAGAAUGGAAAGCGGCGAACGGGUGAGUAAUAUGUUGAUAUUUGCCCCUAGGUCAGGGAUAGCCCAUUGAAAAGUGGAUUAAUACCGGAUAGUCUCUUCGGAGUAAAAAUUUAUUGCCUAGGGAGAAGUCUUCAUUCUAUCAGCUUGUUGGUAAGGUAAUGGCUUACCAAGGCUAUGACGGAUAAUUGAUCUGAGAGGAUGAUCAGUCACAAUGGAACUGAGACACGGUCCAUACUUCUACGGAAGGCAGCAGUGAGGAAUCUUCCACAAUGGACGAAAGUCUGAUGGAGCGACACCGCGUGAAGGAUGAAGGCCUAACGGUUGUAAACUUCUUUUCUGGAGGAGCAUAAUGAGAGUACUCCAGGAAUAAGGGGCGGCUAAUUACGUGCCAGCAGCCGCGGUAAUACGUAAGCCCCAAGCAUUGCCCGGAAUUACUGGGUGUAAAGGGUUCGUAGGUGGAUUAAUAAGUUGUAUAUGAAAGACCGAAGCUUAACUUCGUGUUUGUGUACAAAACUGUUAAUCUGGAAUCAGGGAGAGGUAAGCGGAAUUCUGAGUGUAGGGGUGCAAUCCGUAGAUACUCAGAGGAACACCAAAAGCGAAGGCAGCUUACUGGAACUGUAUUGACGCUCAUGAACGAAAGCGUGGGUAGCGAAAAGGAUUAGAUACCCUUGUAGUCCACGCCCUAAACGAUGAUAACUAAGUGUUGGGAUUUGUCUCAGUGCUGUAGCUAACGCGUUAAGUUAUCCACCUGAGGAGUACGGUCGCAAGAUUAAAACUCAAAGGAAUAGACGGGGACCCACACAAGCAGUGGAUCAAAACGGGGAACCUUACCCAGACUUGACAUCCUAGGAAUUCUUUAGAGAUAAAGAAGUGCUUUUAUUAGAACCUAGAGACAGGUGCUGCAUGGUUGUCGUCAGCUCGUGCCUUGAGGUGUUCGGUUAAGUCCGUUAACGAGCGCAACCCAUGUUCUUAGUUAUUAUGUCUAAGAAGACUGCCUUGGUUAACAAGGAGGAAGGUGUGGAUGACGUCAAAUCAGCAUGGCUUUUACGUCUGGGGCCACACACAUGAUACAAUGGUCUAUACAAAGAGUCGCAAUAUAGUAAUAUUGAGCAAAUCUUAAAAGUAGAUCUCAGUCCGGAUUGAGGUCUGAAACUCGACCUCAUGAAGUUGGAAUUGCUAGUAAUCGUGAAUCAGAUAUGUCACGGUGAAUAUGUUCCUGGGUCUUGUACUCACCGCCCGUCACGGCAUGGAAGGUAGUAAUAUUGGAAGUCCCUCUUUUAGAGGGCCCAUAGUAGGACUACUAACUAGGCUGAAGUCGUAACAAGGUAUCCGUAGGAGAACCUGCGGAUG
Molecule: ribosomal RNA, 1431 nt
Filed under: oral metagenome
Description: bacterial SSU rRNA
Rfam family: Bacterial small subunit ribosomal RNA
Source: RNAcentral